Long non-coding RNA from Helianthus annuus (common sunflower), 430 nucleotides. RefSeq lists it as uncharacterized. The transcript is spliced from 2 exons. The record is from RefSeq and is a predicted model, not a curated record. NCBI's taxonomy places the organism in Eukaryota, Viridiplantae, Streptophyta, Magnoliopsida, Asterales, Asteraceae.
CAUAACAUCAGACUUUCUCUCUCUUUCUCUAGAUCUAGAUCUGGAGCAAACAUCAAUGAAAUUGAAAAUACGCAGUGAUGAACACCGAUUUGAAGAAACCCUAACUGAAGAUAACCAGCCGGAGCCGAUUUUGAUGUUUAUAACUGGCCUUAUAGGAUGUUCUUGGCUUUUAAAAUCGAUAAACAAAUCAAAGCUAUUAGGAUGUUCUGUUUGAUUCUGUCCAAGCUGUUGUUUUCAAAACAUAAUGUGGGUGGAUCUCCUGUAUCAAUAUUUUCACUCAUGGGAAGUAAUGCUGGUGAUGGACGUUUAGCUGCUGGUCUCAAACGGCUUACAACAGUGAGUUACUCAUAACUCAUCUUGAGCUAAAUGAAUGGGAUUAUUCAUCCGAACAUGAAAUAUAUUGAUUGAUAUGUGAUCCUUUUCAUUUGAA